RNAcentral lists this ribosomal RNA (625 nucleotides) under uncultured Verrucomicrobiota bacterium. RNAcentral describes it as "bacterial SSU rRNA". It matches the Rfam family "Bacterial small subunit ribosomal RNA", at positions 72 to 680 of the family's 1533-position model. The record is from RNAcentral. Lineage: Bacteria; Pseudomonadati; Verrucomicrobiota.
UCCUGUAGCAAUACAGGGAAACGUCUAGCGGCGAACGGGUGCUUAACACGUGGGCAACCUGCCAAGAAGUGGGGGAUAGCUCGCCGAAAGGCGAAUUAAUACCGCAUGUGAUUAGAGUGGACAUCCGUUCAAAAUCAAAGUCGGGGCAACCUGACGCUUCUUGAGGGGCCCGCGGCCUAUCAGCUAGUUGGUGAGGUAACGGCCCACCAAGGCUUUGACGGGUAGCUGGUCUGAGAGGACGACCAGCCACACUGGGACUGAGACACGGCCCAGACACCUACGGGUGGCAGCAGUCGAGAAUUUUUCUCAAUGGGGGAAACCCUGAAGGAGCGACGCCGCGUGGAGGAUGAAGGUCUUCGGAUUGUAAACUCCUGUCAUUGGGGAACAAUGCGUAAAUAUUAACUGUAUUUGCGUUGAUAGUACCCGAAGAGGAAGAGACGGCUAACUCUGUGCCAGCAGCCGCGGUAAUACAGAGGUCUCAAGCGUUGUUCGGAUUCAUUGGGCGUAAAGGGUGCGUAGGCGGCGCGGUAAGUCGGGUGUGAAAUCUCGGAGCUUAACUCCGAAACUGCAUUCGAUACUGCCGUGCUUGAGGACUGGAGAGGAGACUGGAAUUCACGGUGUAGCA